GACACAGGCACCGGCUUAGAGACCUCAGUCCCCCGGAGGAGGCUGGUCUGUGGGCAUCUUAGGACAUCCGUGAGAAGGCUCCAGAUGGAAAAUGCUGGAGGGCCCAGGUUUUCAGGAAGGCACCUCCUCACCUUUCAGUCCGGGAGAACAUGUUCCAGCAAAGCCAGGGAGAGAGGCUCGCCGGCCCAGGCCUCUCCAGCUUCUCUUAAAGGCGAAAAGAGAAGCUGAGGACCCCGCACGCUCCCCAGCGCAUGGAGCUGAAGCCACGACCCCAAGGAUCCCAUCCAAGAAACCCUAUUAUGUUCAGUCAUCAGGUCUCCUUGGGCUCCUCUCGGCUGUGAUGGUUUCUCAGACUUGCCUUGUUUUUGAUGACCUGGGCAGUUCUGAGGCGUGCUGGUCAGGUGUUUUGCAGAAUGUUCUUCAGCUGGCAUUUGUUUGCUGAUUUUCCUCAUGAUGAAACUAGGGUCACGGGUUUGGGGGAAGAAAACCACAGGGAUAAGGGGCCAUUCUCGUCACAUAUCAAGGGCACAUACUGUCACCAUGACUUCUCGUUGCUGACGCUGACACUGACCCCCUGGCUGAGGCCGUGUUGGUCACUGUCCAGUUCCUCCUUUGGCCCUUUCCACGCUGUCCUCUUUGGAAGGAAGCACAUACCUCUCUGCACAGCACACACGGAAGGGCUGGGGAGUGAGGCUCCGCUCCCUGGAGGCUGAGUGUCCACCUGAUUCGGGAUUCGUCUGCACAGUUCGUCUGUCCUCCCUCGUUUGUGUCCCUCUCCAGUCACCGCUUUCCAGCGCUAUGGACUCAGGGAUACUUCCUUGAGGCGCUGGGUUAUCAUCCACUACUACUUCAUUCUGUUGCUCAGGCCUUUCCAGAUGUGGCCACUGGAGGCGCUUUCCAUUGGCUCCUGCGUCCCUCUGAUCUAUCUCAUCGCUGUGCUUUUGUGGAGCGCAUCCUUCUGAUACGAAGACGCGCCAGACUCCAGCUGUAUAUUCCCUGUCCUCGUCCUGCAAUCAGUCAUUUCUCCCAGGAGCCCUGGUUUCUCUCAUGACACCACGGUGUUAAAAA
Molecule: long non-coding RNA, 1068 nt
Filed under: Sus scrofa (pig)
Lineage: Eukaryota; Metazoa; Chordata; Mammalia; Artiodactyla; Suidae
Description: lncRNA (ENSSSCG00050071666.1)
Source: RNAcentral